AUAAUAUCUUAAAAUUUAUAUUUGAUUUUAUUUUACUUGUAAAAGUAUAUUAUUUUUAUUUUGAUAUAACUUAAAAAAUAUUUUAUAAAAACAAUAAUGAAAAAUAUAUUUUUCUAAGAUAUAUAUGAUUUAUCAUACCGAUAAGAACAGAUACUACACUUGAUCUUAGCCAAAAGUUUUUAAAGUUUA
RNAcentral lists this small nuclear RNA (189 nucleotides) under Cajanus cajan (pigeon pea). RNAcentral describes it as "snRNA gene-KK1_025793". Lineage: Eukaryota; Viridiplantae; Streptophyta; Magnoliopsida; Fabales; Fabaceae. The record is from RNAcentral.